RNAcentral lists this ribosomal RNA (1343 nucleotides) under uncultured bacterium. RNAcentral's name for it is "16S ribosomal RNA". It matches the Rfam family "Bacterial small subunit ribosomal RNA", at positions 28 to 1378 of the family's 1533-position model. The record is from RNAcentral.
GACGAACGCUUUUGGCGUGCUUAACACAUGCAAGUCGAACGGAAAGGCCCUGCUUUUGUGGGGUGCUCGAGUGGCGAACGGGUGAGUAACACGUGAGUAACCUGCCCUUGACUUUGGGAUAACUUCAGGAAACUGGGGCUAAUACCGGAUAGGAGCUCCUGCUGCAUGGUGGGGGUUGGAAAGUUUCGGCGGUUGGGGAUGGACUCGCGGCUUAUCAGCUUGUUGGUGGGGUAGUGGCUUACCAAGGCUUUGACGGGUAGCCGGCCUGAGAGGGUGACCGGCCACAUUGGGACUGAGAUACGGCCCAGACUCCUACGGGAGGCAGCAGUGGGGAAUAUUGCACAAUGGGCGGAAGCCUGAUGCAGCAACGCCGCGUGCGGGAUGACGGCCUUCGGGCUGUAAACCGCUUUCGCCUGUGACGAAGCGUGAGUGACGGUAAUGGGUAAAGAAGCACCGGCUAACUACGUGCCAGCAGCCGCGGUGAUACGUAGGGUGCGAGCGUUGUCCGGAUUUAUUGGGCGUAAAGGGCUCGUAGGUGGUUGAUCGCGUCGGAAGUGUAAUCUUGGGGCUUAACCCUGAGCGUGCUUUCGAUACGGGUUGACUUGAGGAAGGUAGGGGAGAAUGGAAUUCCUGGUGGAGCGGUGGAAUGCGCAGAUAUCAGGAGGAACACCAGUGGCGAAGGCGGUCCUCUGGGCCUUUCCUGACGCUGAGGAGCGAAAGCGUGGGGAGCGAACAGGCUUAGAUACCCUGGUAGUCCACGCUGUAAACGGUGGGUACUAGGUGUGGGGUCCAUUCCACGGGUUCCGUGCCGUAGCUAACGCUUUAAGUACCCCGCCUGGGGAGUACGGCCGCAAGGCUAAAACUCAAAGGAAUUGACGGGGCCCCGCACAAGCGGCGGAGCAUGCGGAUUAAUUCGAUGCAACGCGUAGAACCUUACCUGGGUUUGACAUGGAUCGGGAGUGCUCAGAGAUGGGUGUGCCUCUUUUGGGGUCGGUUCACAGGUGGUGCAUGGCUGUCGUCAGCUCGUGUCGUGAGAUGUUGGGUUAAGUCCCGCAACGAGCGCAACCCUUGUUCACUGUUGCCAGCACGUUAUGGUGGGGACUCAGUGGAGACCGCCGGGGUCAACUCGGAGGAAGGUGGGGAUGACGUCAAGUCAUCAUGCCCCUUAUGUCCAGGGCUUCACGCAUGCUACAAUGGCUGGUACAGAGGGUGGCGAGCCUGUGAGGGUGAGCGAAUCUCGGAAAGCCGGUCUCAGUUCGGAUUGGGGUCUGCAACUCGACCUCAUGAAGUCGGAGUCGCUAGUAAUCGCAGAUCAGCAACGCUGCGGUGAAUACGUUCCCGGG